Long non-coding RNA from Sinocyclocheilus anshuiensis, 96 nucleotides. RefSeq lists it as uncharacterized. The transcript has 3 exons. The record is from RefSeq and is a predicted model, not a curated record. Lineage: Eukaryota; Metazoa; Chordata; Actinopteri; Cypriniformes; Cyprinidae.
GAGAGAGUGAUAUUUAUAAAUCGCAUACUUACAUGCUACUUCCAGUGAGGCGUUUCGACUGACUGCUUCCCCCAAGUAAUUGCGUGCCACACAAAC